Molecule: non-coding RNA, 982 nt
Organism: Misgurnus anguillicaudatus (oriental weatherfish)
Lineage: Eukaryota; Metazoa; Chordata; Actinopteri; Cypriniformes; Cobitidae
Source: RefSeq, a predicted model, not a curated record
GUACUUUAACACAUGAAACGAGAAACACAACGCGUUAUAUGAAAAAAAUGACUGCAUUAGGAAUGUACUUAACAUGGUUGAAAACACCUUUCUGGAUCUACACGCGGAAAACGAGGGGGAAAGGUUAUGCUAACAACCUUUAAGUGUGUAUUCACUCACUACGAGCUGAUCUGGAGAAGCCAUCACCCCUGCCGAUAUUAGAUGAGGAGGAACAGCCGGGAUUCAGCCUGUUAAGAACUUUCCGAAUGCAUUCCAGUAGAUUCCAGUCGACAUCUUAGGGCAGAACCUCCAGCAGGAGGGAGUUAUGAGGAUAAGACUGACACUCCAGGGAGCUGCACUCUCUACACCAAGUUGAGCUGCAGGAAGUGACCUUUGAAGGAAUACUCCAGACUCAUUACAGAUUGAUGACAUGUUGUUGACCACAGGAAUAACCGUAAGUCUGCAGUGGUUCUCAAGAUGCGGGGGCCCCAGUUUUAUGACAUUUUUAUACAUUAAUUUAUCAUAUAUUCUGUGUAAUGAAACCAACAGCACUACAUUGUAUCUUUAAAGAGUAACUGAACCCCUGGUCAAAGCCUGACUCCACCCACUGACAAUAUUUAAAAAAUGCAAGAAAAGUGGGAAGACCCCGACGGAGAUAGAGGGGACGAACUGAGCUCGUACCAAGGGUGUGGUGAGAUCUUAACAAGGGCAUGGUAAGCUUGAACCUGCUUACGUCACGUCAUACCGCUUACGUCAUGUCGUACCGCAACAUCCAAUAGGAAAAUUCAACUUCAGUAGCCACCGUUCAACCUUUUACACCAUAUAUUGUAUUAUUGAAACACUUUAUGCCCAAAUAUCAAAAAAGUUACUCAAAUCAAUGAACAGCACUAAUAAAGCCCCAUUCUUACAGAUCAUUAACUAAAAAAAGUUGGUUUAGGGUUUAGUUACUCUUUAAUGUUUUGUUUAAAGAGCACCUAUGGUCCGAUUCACGAUUUUACAUUUC